Molecule: ribosomal RNA, 554 nt
Filed under: uncultured bacterium
Lineage: Bacteria
Description: partial 16S ribosomal RNA
Rfam family: Bacterial small subunit ribosomal RNA
Source: RNAcentral
UGGGGAAUUUUGGACAAUGGGCGCAAGCCUGAUCCAGCCAUGCCGCGUGCGGGAAGAAGGCCUUCGGGUUGUAAACCGCUUUUGUCAGGGAAGAAAUCUUCUGAGUUAAUACCUCGGGAGGAUGACGGUACCUGAAGAAUAAGCACCGGCUAACUACGUGCCAGCAGCCGCGGUAAUACGUAGGGUGCAAGCGUUAAUCGGAAUUACUGGGCGUAAAGCGUGCGCAGGCGGUUUUGUAAGACAGAGGUGAAAUCCCCGGGCUCAACCAGGGAACUGCCUUUGUGACUGCAAGGCUUGAGUGCGGCAGAGGGGGAUGGAAUUCCGCGUGUGGCAGUGAAAUGCGUAGAUAUGCGGAGGAACACCGAUGGCGAAGGCAAUCCCCUGGGCCUGCACUGACGCUCAUGCACGAAAGCGUGGGGAGCAAACAGGAUUAGAUACCCUGGUAGUCCACGCCCUAAACGAUGUCAACUGGUUGUUGGGAAGGUUCCUUCUCAGUAACGUAGCUAACGCGUGAAGUUGACCGCCUGGGGAGUACGGCCGCAAGGUUGAAAACU